RNAcentral lists this ribosomal RNA (521 nucleotides) under uncultured Glomus. Its description in RNAcentral is "SSU rRNA". It matches the Rfam family "Eukaryotic small subunit ribosomal RNA", at positions 591 to 1114 of the family's 1831-position model. The record is from RNAcentral. Lineage: Eukaryota; Fungi; Glomeromycota; Glomeromycetes; Glomerales; Glomeraceae.
CCAAUAGCGUAUAUUAAAGUUGUUGCAGUUAAAAAGCUCGUAGUUGAAUUUCGGGAUCAGUUGGUCGGUCGUGCCUCGGUACGUACUGGUCAAAUUGAUUCCUACCUUCUGACGAACCACGAUGUCAUUAAUUUGGUGUCGCGGGAAAUCAGGACUGUUACUUUGAAAAAAUUAGAGUGUUUAAAGCAGGCUCGCGCUUGAAUACAUUAGCAUGGAAUAAUGAAAUAGGACGUUUGAUUCUAUUUUGUUGGUUUCUAGGAUCGACGUAAUGAUUAAUAGGGAUAGUUGGGGGCAUUAGUAUUCAAUUGUCAGAGGUGAAAUUCUUGGAUUUAUUGAAGACUAACUACUGCGAAAGCAUUUGCCAAGGAUGUUUUCAUUAAUCAAGAACGAAAGUUAGGGGAUCGAAGACGAUCAGAUACCGUCGUAGUCUUAACCAUAAACUAUGCCGACUAGGGAUCGGAUGAUGUUAAUUUUUUAAUGACUCAUUCGGCGCCUUACGGGAACCCAAACACUUUGGUUUC